CCCCUAGUAACUGCGAGUGAAGCGGGAAGAGCUCAAAUUUUGAAUCUGGCGGUCGUUUCGGCCGUCCGAGUUGUAAUCUAGAGAAGCGUCUUCCGCGCUGGCCCGUGUACAAGUCUCCUGGAAGGGAGCGUCAUAGAGGGUGAGAAUCCCGUCUUUGACACGGACUACCAGUGCUAUGUGAUGCGCUCUCGACGAGUCGAGUUGUUUGGGAAUGCAGCUCAAAACAGGUGGUAAACUCCAUCUAAAGCUAAAUACAGGCGAGAGACCGAUAGCGAACAAGUACCGUGAGGGAAAGAUGAAAAGAACUUUGGAAAGAGAGUUAAACAGUACCCCGUGAAAUUGCUGAAAGGGAAACGCUUGAUGUCAGUCGCGUCGGCCGGGGAUCAACCUUGCUUCAUCGCUGGGUGUACUUCCUGGUCGACGGGUCAGCAUCARUUUCGGUCGUCGUACAAUGGCGGAGGGAACGUGGCACUCUUCCGAGUGUGUUAUAGCCCUUCGUCGUAUGCGGCGGUCGGGACCGAGGAACUCAGCAACGACCCUUCCGGGUCUGUGCUUAGGAUGCUGGCAUAAUGGCCUUAAGCGACCCGUCUUGAAACACGGACCAAGGAGUCUAACAUGCCUGCGAGUGUUCGGGUGCCAAACCCGUGCGCGAAACGAAAGUGAAAGUCGAGACCUCCGUCGUGGAAGGGCACCGACGCCCGGACCUGAGUCUUCCACGACGGAUCUGCGGUAG
This 733-nucleotide ribosomal RNA is filed under the name Hortiboletus sp. RNAcentral describes it as "partial large subunit ribosomal RNA". It matches the Rfam family "Eukaryotic large subunit ribosomal RNA", at positions 77 to 798 of the family's 3401-position model. Lineage: Eukaryota; Fungi; Basidiomycota; Agaricomycetes; Boletales; Boletaceae. The record is from RNAcentral.